Molecule: non-coding RNA, 29 nt
Filed under: Homo sapiens (human)
Lineage: Eukaryota; Metazoa; Chordata; Mammalia; Primates; Hominidae
Source: RNAcentral
UUCUGGACAUUGGUGCAUGAGUCCGUCCC